Molecule: long non-coding RNA, 770 nt
Organism: Cynoglossus semilaevis (tongue sole)
Lineage: Eukaryota; Metazoa; Chordata; Actinopteri; Pleuronectiformes; Cynoglossidae
Exons: 2
Source: RefSeq, a predicted model, not a curated record
GUGAAUUUUGGAAGCAAUAUUAUUUGAUUUGGUUUUAAUGAAAGACACUACGUCUACCUGUUAAUUUCAGACUCUAUUACGUUUUAUUCUUUCUCAACAAUAAUUUUACACGGAAUUUAGACAGAACGGUUGACGUUAUAAAGUGUUCUUAAAACGUUUUUAAAAUAAUAUUUUUACGUCUUGAUGAAAUGAAUCCACUUUAUGGUGAAAAUGAAAAAAUCAAUUCAGUUUUGUUUUUCAACUAAAAUUACAAAUAUUAGUUUUAAAAUAUAUACCGGUGAUUGCAUCGAUUUAUUCGGUUUCCUUGUUCUAGGGUUAAAACAAAUUAGCUGCUCUAAUAGUGACGUAACGUUUUUCAUGGGCACUAUCUCAGGUUAGAUACUCACUGUCUUGUGACCUUUUCGCAGUACUUCUACACGUGACCCUGAUCCUCCUAUGGAGAUGUGUGUCGUCGACUUCAAUUCACUUUGAAUGCGCGGAAGUGGAAAAUACUACGUUUCUGACAACUCUUCUACGACACCGAGCUGACGAACUGCUGGAGACGUAUAAAAAAAUUAUUGGACCCGGGAUUAACUACAUCAGUGAGGACAUUCUCAACUCCAGUAUAUCUGGAAGCAGCGUUACAGAAAAAUUGCAGGACGUUUAUGUCAAAACUCUGCUGUUUAAUUUGCACAUCUCAAACGUAGAAAGAUGUCAGACUAGGAUUUCGGAAAAUCAGUCUCUAAGCAAUUCCCUGCGAUAUGUCAAGCAAUACCUCAGCUUCCUCGUGA